UUUCCUCCACCUCCUCCACGAGCUCUGCUCCAUUUUCUCCUUUUGAAGCCUGCAAAAUUGGUAACAGUGUUGCAGGAAACAAACGGUUUCUGACUCAUCCAUCAUGAGACAUCUAACAGUUCAAAUUGACAGCCUGCCAUUGCUGACGUAGGAAAACAGGAGCAGCCAAGCAACCACAUAACCUUGCUCUUGUGGCCUGACUG
RNAcentral lists this long non-coding RNA (203 nucleotides) under Struthio camelus australis. Its description in RNAcentral is "lncRNA (ENSSCUG00000000451.1)". Lineage: Eukaryota; Metazoa; Chordata; Aves; Struthioniformes; Struthionidae. The record is from RNAcentral.